RNAcentral lists this ribosomal RNA (256 nucleotides) under uncultured bacterium. Its description in RNAcentral is "partial 16S ribosomal RNA". It matches the Rfam family "Bacterial small subunit ribosomal RNA", at positions 524 to 776 of the family's 1533-position model. The record is from RNAcentral.
UACGUAGGGUGCAAGCGUUUGUCCGGAAUUAUUGGGCGUAAAAGAGCUCGUAGGCGGUCUGUCGCGUCGGCUGUGAAAACUCGGGGCUCAACCCCCGAGCCUGCAGUCGAUACGGGCAGACUAGAGUGCUGUAGGGGAGACUGGAAUUCCUGGUGUAGCGGUGAAAUGCGCAGAUAUCAGGAGGAACACCGGUGGCGAAGGCGGGUCUCUGGGACGGUACUGACGCUGAGACGCGAAAGCGUGGGGAGCGAACAGG